Molecule: long non-coding RNA, 363 nt
Filed under: Phasianus colchicus (ring-necked pheasant)
Lineage: Eukaryota; Metazoa; Chordata; Aves; Galliformes; Phasianidae
Description: lncRNA (ENSPCLG00000021274.1)
Source: RNAcentral
ACCAUGAUGUCUGUCUGCUUCUCUUGAGAAUGCCACUUCUGUUUGUUUCAUUGAAGAUUCAGAGUAAUUGCAAAUAAUAACAGUGCUGCAAACUAUGACUAGAACAAGAUGGAGCCAUUCAAGCAGAAAUCUUGAGGCAACUGCAUCUCAGCCUGGAGUCUGAGACAGCUAUGGGCUGUGUAAUGUUGGAAUAGUUGACUGGAAGUUGGAGUGUAAAAAAUGGAGCAUGCAAUCUCUCUCAUUUCUGUAGUAUGAAGUUCCAUGGCAGCUACUAACAUUGCUUCUGGACUGAACACGUCUUUUCUUUUUGGCACUAUAUUGAAAGAUCUGGGAAGAAGCUGAAAGACACACAGAGACGUAGAC